AUUGAACGCUGGCGGCAGGCCUAACACAUGCAAGUCGAGCGGAUGAAGGGAGCUUGCUCCUGGAUUCAGCGGCGGACGGGUGAGUAAUGCCUAGGAAUCUGCCUGGUAGUGGGGGAUAACGUCCGGAAACGGGCGCUAAUACCGCAUACGUCCUGAGGGAGAAAGUGGGGGAUCUUCGGACCUCACGCUAUCAGAUGAGCCUAGGUCGGAUUAGCUAGUUGGUGGGGUAAAGGCCUACCAAGGCGACGAUCCGUAACUGGUCUGAGAGGAUGAUCAGUCACAAUGGAACUGAGACACGGUCCAGACUCCUACGGGAGGCAGCAGUGGGGAAUAUUGGACAAUGGGCGAAAGCCUGAUCCAGCCAUGCCGCGUGUGUGAAGAAGGUCUUCGGAUUGUAAAGCACUUUAAGUUGGGAGGAAGGGCAGUAAGUUAAUACCUUGCUGUUUUGACGUUACCAACAGAAGAAGCACCGGCUAACUUCGU
This 483-nucleotide ribosomal RNA is filed under the name uncultured bacterium. Its description in RNAcentral is "partial 16S ribosomal RNA". It matches the Rfam family "Bacterial small subunit ribosomal RNA", at positions 30 to 506 of the family's 1533-position model. The record is from RNAcentral.